This 2366-nucleotide ribosomal RNA is filed under the name Salmonella enterica. Its description in RNAcentral is "bacterial LSU rRNA". It matches the Rfam family "Bacterial large subunit ribosomal RNA", at positions 593 to 2925 of the family's 2925-position model. The record is from RNAcentral. Lineage: Bacteria; Pseudomonadati; Pseudomonadota; Gammaproteobacteria; Enterobacterales; Enterobacteriaceae. RNAcentral also lists the same sequence under 1 other name.
GUGACUGCGUACCUUUUGUAUAAUGGGUCAGCGACUUAUAUUCUGUAGCAAGGUUAACCGAAUAGGGGAGCCGGAGGGAAACCGAGUCUUAAUUGGGCGUUAAGUUGCAGGGUAUAGACCCGAAACCCGGUGAUCUAGCCAUGGGCAGGUUGAAGGUUGGGUAACACUAACUGGAGGACCGAACCGACUAAUGUUGAAAAAUUAGCGGAUGACCUGUGGCUGGGGGUGAAAGGCCAAUCAAACCGGGAGAUAGCUGGUUCUCCCCGAAAGCUAUUUAGGUAGCGCCUCGUGAAUUCAUCUCCGGGGGUAGAGCACUGUUUCGGCUAGGGGGCCAUCCCGGCUUACCAACCCGAUGCAAACUGCGAAUACCGGAGAAUGUUAUCACGGGAGACACACGGCGGGUGCUAACGUCCGUCGUGAAGAGGGAAACAACCCAGACCGCCAGCUAAGGUCCCAAAGUCAUGGUUAAGUGGGAAACGAUGUGGGAAGGCCCAGACAGCCAGGAUGUUGGCUUAGAAGCAGCCAUCAUUUAAAGAAAGCGUAAUAGCUCACUGGUCGAGUCGGCCUGCGCGGAAGAUGUAACGGGGCUAAACCAUGCACCGAAGCUGCGGCAGCGACACUCAGGUGUUGUUGGGUAGGGGAGCGUUCUGUAAGCCUGCGAAGGUGGCCUGUGAGGGUUGCUGGAGGUAUCAGAAGUGCGAAUGCUGACAUAAGUAACGAUAAAGCGGGUGAAAAGCCCGCUCGCCGGAAGACCAAGGGUUCCUGUCCAACGUUAAUCGGGGCAGGGUGAGUCGACCCCUAAGGCGAGGCCGAAAGGCGUAGUCGAUGGGAAACGGGUUAAUAUUCCCGUACUUGGUGUUACUGCGAAGGGGGGACGGAGAAGGCUAUGUUGGCCGGGCGACGGUUGUCCCGGUUUAAGCGUGUAGGUGUGUGUUCCAGGUAAAUCCGGUUCACUUUAACACUGAGGCGUGAUGACGAGGCACUACGGUGCUGAAGCAACAAAUGCCCUGCUUCCAGGAAAAGCCUCUAAGCAUCAGGUAACAUCAAAUCGUACCCCAAACCGACACAGGUGGUCAGGUAGAGAAUACCAAGGCGCUUGAGAGAACUCGGGUGAAGGAACUAGGCAAAAUGGUGCCGUAACUUCGGGAGAAGGCACGCUGACACGUAGGUGAAGUGAUUUACUCAUGGAGCUGAAGUCAGUCGAAGAUACCAGCUGGCUGCAACUGUUUAUUAAAAACACAGCACUGUGCAAACACGAAAGUGGACGUAUACGGUGUGACGCCUGCCCGGUGCCGGAAGGUUAAUUGAUGGGGUCAGCGCAAGCGAAGCUCCUGAUCGAAGCCCCGGUAAACGGCGGCCGUAACUAUAACGGUCCUAAGGUAGCGAAAUUCCUUGUCGGGUAAGUUCCGACCUGCACGAAUGGCGUAAUGAUGGCCAGGCUGUCUCCACCCGAGACUCAGUGAAAUUGAACUCGCUGUGAAGAUGCAGUGUACCCGCGGCAAGACGGAAAGACCCCGUGAACCUUUACUAUAGCUUGACACUGAACAUUGAGCCUUGAUGUGUAGGAUAGGUGGGAGGCUUUGAAGUGUGGACGCCAGUCUGCAUGGAGCCGGCCUUGAAAUACCACCCUUUAAUGUUUGAUGUUCUAACGUGGACCCGUGAUCCGGGUUGCGGACAGUGUCUGGUGGGUAGUUUGACUGGGGCGGUCUCCUCCUAAAGAGUAACGGAGGAGCACGAAGGUUGGCUAAUCCUGGUCGGACAUCAGGAGGUUAGUGCAAUGGCAUAAGCCAGCUUGACUGCGAGCGUGACGGCGCGAGCAGGUGCGAAAGCAGGUCAUAGUGAUCCGGUGGUUCUGAAUGGAAGGGCCAUCGCUCAACGGAUAAAAGGUACUCCGGGGAUAACAGGCUGAUACCGCCCAAGAGUUCAUAUCGACGGCGGUGUUUGGCACCUCGAUGUCGGCUCAUCACAUCCUGGGGCUGAAGUAGGUCCCAAGGGUAUGGCUGUUCGCCAUUUAAAGUGGUACGCGAGCUGGGUUUAGAACGUCGUGAGACAGUUCGGUCCCUAUCUGCCGUGGGCGCUGGAGAACUGAGGGGGGCUGCUCCUAGUACGAGAGGACCGGAGUGGACGCAUCACUGGUGUUCGGGUUGUCAUGCCAAUGGCACUGCCCGGUAGCUAAAUGCGGAAGAGAUAAGUGCUGAAAGCAUCUAAGCACGAAACUUGCCCCGAGAUGAGUUCUCCCUGAGACUUAGAGUCUCCUGAAGGAACGUUGAAGACGACGACGUUGAUAGGCCGGGUGUGUAAGCGCAGCGAUGCGUUGAGCUAACCGGUACUAAUGAACCGUGAGGCUUAACCUUACAACGCCGAAG